Gymnogyps californianus (California condor) is the source of this 132-nucleotide long non-coding RNA. RefSeq lists it as uncharacterized. The record is from RefSeq and is a predicted model, not a curated record. The transcript is spliced from 3 exons. Lineage: Eukaryota; Metazoa; Chordata; Aves; Accipitriformes; Cathartidae.
CAGGGCUGAAUGUCAGAUGAGUCUCGUCUUGUAAAGCAUUAGAUGCAGCGGGAUGAGCUGUGUGCCAAAGGGCAACAGAGGAGACGUGAGCGGAGCGCUGUAAGAAGGUGGUACCCGAGCCUCAACUUGGCA